This 2565-nucleotide ribosomal RNA is filed under the name Triticum aestivum (bread wheat). RNAcentral's name for it is "partial small subunit ribosomal RNA". Lineage: Eukaryota; Viridiplantae; Streptophyta; Magnoliopsida; Poales; Poaceae. The record is from RNAcentral.
AUGGUCAUGGAGUCCGAGCCACAGCCUGGUAAUGGUCAUGAACCUCACAAUACCACAAGUCAGCAACAAAAACACCAGUGUGAUGACCAAACACCGAGUAGUGCUGAUGAAGCAGAGCUUCUAUGGAACCUGAGGAAGUACUUGAUCCUGCUGGCAACUUUAUCAACCACUAUCACCUACCAGGCGGGGCUGGCACAACCGGGUGGUCUCUGGGCAGAUAACCAGCAAGGCUACCUUGCCAGUGACGUUGUCAUGUUUCUUAGCCGCACCAAGCGGUACAGGAUGUUCUUCUACUGCAACACAACAGCAUUCAUUAUAUCACUCAUUGUUCUGAUCCUGGUCCUGGUCAGGGAGCUGAGAUGGAAUGCAAUUUGGCUCCGUUCGCUGCAGUUUGCGCUGCUGCUUGACCUGCUCGGGCUUGUGGGGGCCUAUGCUGCCGGGAACCGCAGGGAGGUCAGAACAUCCAUUUAUAUCUGGGUAAUUCUUGUUGGCAUCGUCACAUAUGUCGGGCUUCAUGUAGUAUUCUUCCGCCAUCUAGCUCCUGAAUGGCUUGGAGAAAUAUUCAGGGACAUCCAGAGGUUCUGGGAGGAUUCUAUAGCACACAUUUUCAACAGAAGGCACAACAUAAAACAUGAGCUAGAUGCUCCUAUCCAAGAUGAAAAGGAGUCACUGGAGAAGAAUCACGGUUUCUUUCUGGUUGCAGCUACAUUGGCAGCAACAAAGACAUAUACUGCAGGGUUAAGUCCACCAGGUGGCAGAUCUUACUGGUAUGAUAACAAUGGUAGCCACAUUGCUGGCGACCUGGUGCUUCGAGACAAAUACCCCCUCGGCUUCAACGCGUUUAUGUUCUUCAAUAAAACUGCCUUUUCUGGUUCCUUUGUCAUCAACAUCAUGCUUCUCAGUAAAACGGGAGUGAAUUACAUUGCCAUGUCAAAUGUACUUCGGUUGUGGAUUCUGAUCAGCCUUAUGGCUACUUAUGCCGUAGGGAGUCGCAGGAAAAUCCAUACAUCUAUCUUUGUGUUCUCACUUUUCGGUGCAGUCCUGCUCUACCUCAUCAUUCAAUGGGUUGCUCGUAUAAUGCCUAAGCCAGAAUUUAUCAGGAAGUGCAUCAAGUGGAUGGAAGGAGAGCAGAAAAAGCUAGUCUUGAAGCUAAACUCCUUUAUGGAUAGUUGUAGCAGAUCCAAUGGGCGGGUGCCACGAUUACAGUAUGAUGGACAACAUUCAUGCAGAAAUGGCGCAUCAAGCACUGUUAAUAAUGUGAAAGAUGACUUGGGGAAGUUGCAGACAUACCUUUUAUGGUUUGCCAUCCUUGCUGCGACUAUUACAUACCAAGCUGGGUUGCAUCCCCCCGGUGGGUUUUGGCCACGCAGUCGAGAUCCAAUUCUCGAGGCCAUCAAUCCCAUUCGGUACAAAGCAUUCUACUACUGCAACGCCACUGCAUUUGUGUCAUCAUUGGUUAUCAUCAUGCUACUCCAGAGCCAGCUGAUCACCAUAGGCGCCAUGAAACGACAUGUGCUGCAGAUAGCCAUGGGUUUUGAUCUCUUCAGUAUAAUGGGGGCAUAUGCUGCUGGGAGCAGCCGGACUUUAUCCACACAAAUGUAUGUGAUAAUCUUAGUCAUCCUUGUUCAUAUUGUGCUAUUUGUGGACGCAAGAGUUCCUGAUGGAUCAGCUCAGCAGCAAGAUGAUAACGCUGAAGCAAAACGUUUGCAGAAGCGGCACAAGUUUCUAAUGCUGCUCGCAGUUCUGGCAACAUCCAGCACAUAUCAAGCCGGCAUAAGCCCACCAGGUGGCUUCUGGACUGACAACAGGGAUGGCCACCAGGCAGGUCACCCAUUGUUCAGCGAUGCGUUUCCACGCCGUUACAAGGCUUUCAUCUACUUCAAUUCCACUGCUUUCAUGGCAUCAUUGGUUUUAAUUGUGUUGCUUGUUAGCAGAAGGCUGUGUCACAGGGGACUGCGGGGAUACACACUGCAUGCAUGCGUGCUACUAGAUCUGAUCAGUCUCAUGGGUGCUUUUGUCGCUGGAAGCUGCAGAACAGUGUCGGCAUCGGUUUAUGUCAUCCUGAUCUCGGCUGUUGUUUUUGCCUGUAUCAUGAUUCAGGUUCUACUACUGAAAUUUACAAAAGAUAUGGUAAUUGACUUCUUUGACUGGAUGUUUCACAUCACUGCUUUCAAGCGUCUGAAUUUACCCAAGAAUUGUGGUGGAAGCAUCAAAGGGAACAAGAAAACUAGCCAAAAAUGGCGUGAAGAUUUGAUGCUGAUUGGAGCUUCCGCAGUGUCUUUUGCUUACCAAGCUGGGCUCCUUCCUCCAGGUUUCCUUUGGGUUGCUGACUGCGAUGGAUAUUUCACACGUGAUCUAACCAUCUAUGAUACCCAUCCGGUGCAGUAUAAGGUAUUCUUCUACUGCAAUGCCACAGUGUUCAUGGCAUCGACGGUCGUAGUCAUCCUUCUGCUGAACACCACAAUGAGGAAGUACAAGGGAUAUGCCCUUGCCAUGAAAACAGCAAUGAUGAUGGGCUUGCUUGGUCUGCUCGGGGCGUAUGCUGCAGGCAGCUGCAGGACCUGA